UGUUGCCUCUGAAUUUUUUUCAUUAUUAUUUUGUUGUUGUGAAAGCAUUAUAUGGCUUGAUUCAAGAUUCACGACCAUUCAUGUGAUGCUAUUGUAAUGAUUUCUUAAAGUAUGAGUUCUUUGAUAUUUAGGAAUUUUUUUAUAGAUGUACUUGUAGUUCUUGAUAGAUGAUGGAGCACUUUGCCUCCAUUACAUUUUCCUACCAUGUCAACAUCAAUCUUUCCUUUAUUACAAGAAUUGCUACACGAAAUUUAUUUACCGUUUUUCUUUUGCAUUUAGUUUUUUGUUGGGUUUCUGUGCUUUUGAUCGACUGAGUGGAUUCCACAAUUUAGGUUACAAAUUUUGAGUAUGUUGUUAAGGCUGAAGCUGCAACAGAGGAGGUUGUAGGAGUUUAGUGUCAUGGGAAAAGGGAAGCGUAACCAAAAGCUGGUAAACCAAUGCUGAAUUGGGGCACUAGGAAGCACAUUUCUUUGGGAGCAACAAGAGGACUAUUGUACCUUCAUGAGCAAUUUCCAUAGUGAGGGACACAAGACAACACAUUGCUUUGGGAGCAACAAGAGGACUAUUGUACCUUCAUGAGCAAUUUCCACAGUGAGGGGCACAAUGGGGCAUAUUAUUUGAAUAUUGUUGUCUAGUAAGAAAGGAUAUCAAGAAUGAAUCCUUAAUGUUACUAACCUUGAAUGGGAUAAGAAGAAUUAUGUGAGACAUCAUUUGAUUAUUAUCUAUGAUUACAAAAUGGAUAUGUAAAUGGUUCACAGUCUUGGUCAUAUGGUUUAG
This 777-nucleotide small RNA is filed under the name Vigna angularis var. angularis. RNAcentral describes it as "Non-protein coding transcript". The record is from RNAcentral. Lineage: Eukaryota; Viridiplantae; Streptophyta; Magnoliopsida; Fabales; Fabaceae.